CGCUGAGAAGCUUAUACAGGGAGAAGCGUUGGCCUUUUAAGCUAAAGACAGGUGACCCCCAACCACCCUCAACGA
RNAcentral lists this transfer RNA (75 nucleotides) under Johnius amblycephalus (bearded croaker). Its description in RNAcentral is "tRNA-Lys". The record is from RNAcentral. Lineage: Eukaryota; Metazoa; Chordata; Actinopteri; Sciaenidae.